Molecule: ribosomal RNA, 306 nt
Filed under: Salmonella enterica subsp. enterica
Lineage: Bacteria; Pseudomonadati; Pseudomonadota; Gammaproteobacteria; Enterobacterales; Enterobacteriaceae
Description: bacterial SSU rRNA
Rfam family: Bacterial small subunit ribosomal RNA
Source: RNAcentral
CCUACGGGCGGCAGCAGUGGGGAAUAUUGGACAAUGGGGGAAACCCUGAUCCAGCAAUACCGCGUGUGUGAAGAAGGCCUUCGGGUUGUAAAGCACUUUUAGCAGGAAAGAAAGACUGUGCGCUAAUACCGCAUGGUUUUGACGUUACUUGCAGAAAAAGCACCGGCUAACUCCGUGCCAGCAGCCGCGGUAAUACGGAGGGUGCAAGCGUUGAUCGGAAUUACUGGGCGUAAAGCGCGCGUAGGCGGCUUGGUAAGUCGGAUGUGAAAUCCCCGGGCUCAACCUGGGAACUGGAUUAGAGACUGG